RNAcentral lists this ribosomal RNA (739 nucleotides) under Photobacterium halotolerans. RNAcentral's name for it is "bacterial SSU rRNA". It matches the Rfam family "Bacterial small subunit ribosomal RNA", at positions 802 to 1533 of the family's 1533-position model. Lineage: Bacteria; Pseudomonadati; Pseudomonadota; Gammaproteobacteria; Vibrionales; Vibrionaceae. The record is from RNAcentral.
GUAAACGAUGUCUACUUGGAGGUUGGUGUCUUGAACACUGGCUUUCGGAGCUAACGCGUUAAGUAGACCGCCUGGGGAGUACGGUCGCAAGAUUAAAACUCAAAUGAAUUGACGGGGGCCCGCACAAGCGGUGGAGCAUGUGGUUUAAUUCGAUGCAACGCGAAGAACCUUACCUACUCUUGACAUCCAGAGAACUUUCCAGAGAUGGAUUGGUGCCUUCGGGAACUCUGAGACAGGUGCUGCAUGGCUGUCGUCAGCUCGUGUUGUGAAAUGUUGGGUUAAGUCCCGCAACGAGCGCAACCCUUAUCCUUGUUUGCCAGCACUUCGGGUGGGAACUCCAGGGAGACUGCCGGUGAUAAACCGGAGGAAGGUGGGGACGACGUCAAGUCAUCAUGGCCCUUACGAGUAGGGCUACACACGUGCUACAAUGGCGUAUACAGAGGGCUGCGAGCUAGCGAUAGUGAGCGAAUCCCACAAAGUACGUCGUAGUCCGGAUUGGAGUCUGCAACUCGACUCCAUGAAGUCGGAAUCGCUAGUAAUCGUGGAUCAGAAUGCCACGGUGAAUACGUUCCCGGGCCUUGUACACACCGCCCGUCACACCAUGGGAGUGGGCUGCACCAGAAGUAGAUAGCUUAACCUUCGGGAGGGCGUUUACCACGGUGUGGUUCAUGACUGGGGUGAAGUCGUAACAAGGUAGCCCUAGGGGAACCUGGGGCUGGAUCACCUCCUUACCUAAAGA